Regulatory RNA element from Rhodobacter sp. CACIA14H1, 93 nucleotides. It matches the Rfam family "Rhodo-rpoB RNA". NCBI's taxonomy places the organism in Bacteria, Pseudomonadati, Pseudomonadota, Alphaproteobacteria, Rhodobacterales. The record is from Rfam.
GGUUCGGGAGCCUUCCGGUGGGACGGGGGGCAUGAAUGGGACCUUUACCCCCUAUCGCAAGCGGCGCGCGCCCGUGGCCCCGACGGACCCGCG